AGCCCCCACUGUUGGCAAGCAAGACGAUGCCCAGGGUUUCGCACCGGUGACCGGCACUGCUCUCAAGCCACAGCAAGGCCAUCCUUCAAGACGGGCCCAGUGGAAGGGGUCCAUCUGGCCAGGUGGCAGGGCGGCACAGGGUCUCCUAAGUUACUUUAAAGCAAAGAAAACAGUUCCAAAGAGACGAAGGCUGUCUAAGCAGCAGACAACAGGAAGGACCCAUCCUCUGAUCCAGCAGUUCCUGUUUCUAAAAAUGUACCUCAAGGAAAUAAGCAACUAGAAGUGAAAGUAUUUAUGUGGAGAUAUGUUAACUUCGGCACUACCUGUCAUGGCAAACAACUCAGAAAACUAUAGCAGCUGGUCAGUGACCCAACAAAAGGAUGAAUCCCUGGCACUGAACUGGAGGGUCUGAGCUGGAGGGUGCACCUUGCCUGCUGCCAGGAGGGAGGGCCGAGACUCUGAAGGCAAAACAGAGUGGAGAACAGCACACAACAGAGUCUUGCAGGUGCUGUGGACACUGAGGCUCCUGGAGAGGAACACCUUGAUUCUCUAGGCUUUCCUUGUUUUGGCUCCCUUCAACCCAGGGGACCCAGAUAAGCAGAUAAGCAGCUCUACCGGGAAGCAGGCAGGAGAGAAAAAGUGUGAUUCAAACCAGUCCAUUAUAUUCCUUGGUGGUAACAACAGAAAAAACUUUGAUAAGAGGGUAACU
Talpa occidentalis (Iberian mole) is the source of this 709-nucleotide long non-coding RNA. RefSeq lists it as uncharacterized. Lineage: Eukaryota; Metazoa; Chordata; Mammalia; Eulipotyphla; Talpidae. The transcript has 3 exons. The record is from RefSeq and is a predicted model, not a curated record.